UACGGGGGGGGCAAGCGUUGUUUGGAAUUACUGGGCGUAAAGGGCUCGUAGGCGGCCAACUAAGUCAUACGUGAAAUCCCUCGGCUUAACCGGGGAACUGCGUCUGAUACUGGUUGGCUUGAGUUCGGGAGAGGGAUGCGGAAUUCCAGGUGUAGCGGUGAAAUGCGUAGAUAUCUGGAGGAACACCGGUGGCGAAGGCGGCAUCCUGGACCGAUACUGACGCUGAGGAGCGAAAGCCAGGGGAGCAAACGGG
This 253-nucleotide ribosomal RNA is filed under the name uncultured bacterium. RNAcentral describes it as "partial 16S ribosomal RNA". It matches the Rfam family "Bacterial small subunit ribosomal RNA", at positions 524 to 776 of the family's 1533-position model. The record is from RNAcentral.